AUUGAACGCUGGCGGCAGGCCUAACACAUGCAAGUCGAACGGUAGCACAAAGAGCUUGCUCUUGGGUGACGAGUGGCGGACGGGUGAGUAAUGUCUGGGAAACUGCCCGAUGGAGGGGGAUAACUACUGGAAACGGUAGCUAAUACCGCAUAACGUCGCAAGACCAAAGUGGGGGACCUUCGGGCCUCACACCAUCGGAUGUGCCCAGAUGGGAUUAGCUAGUAGGUGGGGUAAUGGCUCACCUAGGCGACGAUCCCUAGCUGGUCUGAGAGGAUGACCAGCCACACUGGAACUGGGACACGGUCCAGACUCCUACGGGAGGCAGCAGUGGGGAAUAUUGCACAAUGGGCGCAAGCCUGAUGCAGCCAUGCCGCGUGUAUGAAGAAGGCCUUCGGGUUGUAAAGUACUGUCAGCGAGGAGGAAGGCAUUAAGGUUAAUAACCUUGGUGAUUGACGUUACUCGCAGAAGAAGCACCGGCUAACUCCGUGCCAGCCGCCGCGGUAA
Molecule: ribosomal RNA, 504 nt
Filed under: uncultured bacterium
Lineage: Bacteria
Description: partial 16S ribosomal RNA
Rfam family: Bacterial small subunit ribosomal RNA
Source: RNAcentral